This 279-nucleotide ribosomal RNA is filed under the name uncultured bacterium. RNAcentral's name for it is "partial 16S ribosomal RNA". It matches the Rfam family "Bacterial small subunit ribosomal RNA", at positions 28 to 307 of the family's 1533-position model. The record is from RNAcentral.
GACGAACGCUGGCGGCGUGCUUAACACAUGCAAGUCGAGCGGUAAGGCCCUUUCGGGGGUACACGAGCGGCGAACGGGUGAGUAACACGUGGGUGACCUGCCCUCAGCUCUGGGAUAAAGCCUGGGAAACCGGGUCUAAUACUGGAUAUGACUCCAUGACGCAUGUUGUGGGGUGGAAAGCCUUGUGCGGCUGAGGAUGGGCCCGCGGCCUAUCAGCUUGUUGGUGGGGUGANGGCCUACCAAGGCGACGACGGGUAGCCGGCCUGAGAGGGCGACCGG